Molecule: ribosomal RNA, 403 nt
Filed under: bacterium
Lineage: Bacteria
Description: partial 16S ribosomal RNA
Rfam family: Bacterial small subunit ribosomal RNA
Source: RNAcentral
UGGGGAAUAUUGCACAAUGGAGGGAACUCUGAUGCAGCGACGCCGCGUGAACGAAGAAGGCUUUCGAGUCGUAAAGUUCUUUUAUAUGGGAAGAUACUGACGGUACCAUAAGAAAAAGCGCCGGCCAACUACGUUACAGCAGACGCGGUAAUACGUAGGGGGGUAGCGUUGUCCGGAAUCACUGGGCUUAACGGGUUCGCAGGCGGAAAUGCAAGUCAGGUGUAAAAGGCAGUAGCUUAACUACUGUAAGCAUUUGAAACUGCAUAUCUUGAGAAGAGUAGAGGUAAGUGGAAUUUUUAGUGUAGCGGUGAAAUGCGUAGAUAUUAAAAAGAAUACCGGUGGCGAAGGCGAGUUACUGGGCUGAUUCUGACGCUGAGGAACGAAAGCGUGGGUAGCAAACAGG